GGGCAGGGGAGGGGUGUGGUCAGAGUAGGGGCAGGGCAAGGGAGGGUUGUGGUCAGAGUAGGGUCAGGGCAAGGGAGGGGUGUGGUCAGAGUAGGGGCAGGGCAAGGGAGGGGUGUGGUCAGAGUAGGGGCAGGGCAAGGGAGGGGUGUGGUCAGAGUAGGGGCAGGGCAAGGGAGGGGUGUGGUCAGAGUAGGGGCAGGGCAAGGGAGGGGUGUGGUCAGAGUAGGGGCAGGGGCAGGGCAAGGGAGAAUAGUGGUAAGAGUAGAGACAGGGGCAGGGAAGGGAGGGGUGUGGUCAGAGUAGGGACAGGGCAAGGGAGGUGUGUGGUCAGAGUAGGGGCAGGGCAAGGGAGGGUUGUCGUCAGAGUAGGGGCAGGGCAAGGGAGGGUUGUGGUCAGAGUAGGGGCAGGGCAAGGGAGGUGUGUGGUCAGAGUAAGGGCAGGGCAAGGGAGGUGUGUGGUCAGAGUAGGGGCAGGGCAAGGGAGGGGUGUGGUCAGAGUAGGGGCAGGGCAAGGGAGGGGUGUGGUCAGAGUAGGGGCAGGGCAAGGGAGGGGUGUGGUCAGAGUAGGGGCAGGGCAAGAGAGGGGUGUG
This is a long non-coding RNA of Oncorhynchus tshawytscha (Chinook salmon), 590 nucleotides long. The record is from Ensembl. Lineage: Eukaryota; Metazoa; Chordata; Actinopteri; Salmoniformes; Salmonidae.